This 389-nucleotide long non-coding RNA is filed under the name Cyanistes caeruleus (blue tit). Its description in RNAcentral is "lncRNA (ENSCCEG00000007747.1)". The record is from RNAcentral. Lineage: Eukaryota; Metazoa; Chordata; Aves; Passeriformes; Paridae.
UUCCCAAAAGGUGACCGGGACCCCCCCCAGGACACUCUGGACACGUCUCCGGACACUCCGGACACGUCUCCGGCCGCUCCGGACAGCGCCGGAGCCACCAUCUACGCCCAGGUGCAGAAGCCCAAAGGAACCGUCCCUGAUGCCACCACCAUCUACGCCGUGGCCACCGGGCCGCUCCUCGGAGCCCCCCGGAGCCUCCCGGAUGAGCCCCCACAGGGACGCCAUCCUCUGUCCCAGGUAAGGGGGGGGAUCGUCCCCAACCCCGCCCUUGGGGGCACCCCCCGGGUCAAAUUCGGUCCCCCCCCAAAAUUUGUGUCCCCUCCAAGGAGCCCACCACGGUUUACGCCAGCGUGACUCUGCCGGUGGCCUGAGCCUCUCCUGGAAUCCCG